RNAcentral lists this ribosomal RNA (432 nucleotides) under uncultured bacterium. RNAcentral's name for it is "partial 16S ribosomal RNA". It matches the Rfam family "Bacterial small subunit ribosomal RNA", at positions 29 to 506 of the family's 1533-position model. The record is from RNAcentral.
AACGAACGCUGGCGGCAUGCCUAACACAUGCAAGUCGAACGAGACCUUCGGGUCUAGUGGCGCACGGGUGCGUAACGCGUGGGAACCUGCCCUUAGGUUCGGAAUAACUCCCCGAAAGGGGUGCUAAUACCGGAUAAUGUCUUCGGACCAAAGAUUUAUCGCCUUUGGAUGGGCCCGCGUUGGAUUAGCUAGUUGGUAGGGUAAAAGCCUACCAAGGCGACGAUCCAUAGCUGGUCUGAGAGGAUGAUCAGCCACACUGGGACUGAGACACGGCCCAGACUCCUACGGGAGGCAGCAGUGGGGAAUAUUGGACAAUGGGCGAAAGCCUGAGCCAGCAAUGCCGCGUGAGUGAUGAAGGCCUUAGGGUUGUAAAGCUCUUUUACCCGGGAUGAUAAGGACAGUACCGGGAGAAGAAGCUCCGGCUAACUCCGU